GAAAUGCGAUAAGUAAUGUGAAUUGCAGAAUUCCGAGAAUCAUCGAAUCUUUGAACGCACAUUGCGCCCUCUGGUAUUCCGGGGGGCAUGCCUGUCCGAGCGUCAUUGCGAACCCCUCAAGCACGGCUUGUGUGAUGGGCCCUCCCGCGUCUUGGUCGUCAAGACGGGCCCGAAAAGCAGUGGCGGCUUCGCGGUUAUCCGAUCAGUCAGAGCGUAUGGGGACUUUCUCUCUGUCACACGCCCGCGGCGCGGACCGACGCCUGUCGACCUUUAUUCAUCUUUUUCUCGGUUGACCUCGGAUCAGGUAGGGAUACCCGCUGAACUUAAGC
RNAcentral lists this unclassified non-coding RNA (329 nucleotides) under plant metagenome. RNAcentral's name for it is "partial contains 5.8S ribosomal RNA, internal transcribed spacer 2, and large subunit ribosomal RNA". The stretch from base 1 to 105 matches the Rfam family "5.8S ribosomal RNA", at positions 50 to 154 of the family's 154-position model. The record is from RNAcentral.